CCACAUCUCAAAAUGCCAUUCCAUGUUCAAGUUACAAUAUAGGGAAACUAAAAACCCCAAUGCCUUGCAUCCCGAAGAAAAAUCAGCUUUGAUCAGUUACUAGAUAUGUCUUAUCAUCAUCUUUCGUCUACUGACUAAACUCAUUUGGAUAAUGCAGGUUCGUAAUAUUGACAAUAAUCUCUUAACUAUGAACAGAUUCCCUUUUACAGUUAAUAAGUCAUUAACACAAGAAUACAACUAAGAAAAAGAAAAACAAGAAAAUGAACAUGCUAUAUUCUUGUCAAAUUUCUAUUCAGAACCGCAGUUGGAUGUACAACAUAUUGAGAUAUGUACUUCCUUUAUAAAAAUUGUUUUCUUUAAAGCUCUUGCUAAAGAAU
This 377-nucleotide unclassified non-coding RNA is filed under the name Hevea brasiliensis (rubber tree). The record is from RNAcentral. Lineage: Eukaryota; Viridiplantae; Streptophyta; Magnoliopsida; Malpighiales; Euphorbiaceae.